UGUGGUUUGCCGUUGUCUGUGC
This 22-nucleotide microRNA is filed under the name Melibe leonina. RNAcentral describes it as "mle-miR-1988a-5p". The record is from miRBase by way of RNAcentral. Lineage: Eukaryota; Metazoa; Mollusca; Gastropoda; Nudibranchia; Dendronotidae.